CGCGGUGGGGGGGUGCUGUGGUGCAAAAGGGGCUGCGUUGCAGUGCAUUGCAAAAGGCUGAGGUGCAUUCAUUCUAUUGCAUUCCAUUCUAUUGCAUUUAAUUGCAUUGCAUUGCAUUCAUCCCAUCCCAUUCAUUGCAUUGCAUCCAUGCUGUUGCGUUGCAUUGCAUUCAUUGCAUUGAUCCCACUGCAUUGCAUUGCAUUGAUUCCACUGCAUUGCAUUGCAUUGCAUUCAUUGCAUUGCAAUCAUUGCAUUGCAUUCCUUUCCAUCCCUUCCCA
Phasianus colchicus (ring-necked pheasant) is the source of this 278-nucleotide long non-coding RNA. Lineage: Eukaryota; Metazoa; Chordata; Aves; Galliformes; Phasianidae. The record is from Ensembl.